AUUCAAACAAAUUUAACGUCAAUCUAAUUAUUCAUACCAAAAAUUUAUAACAAGAGUUCAUUAUAUCCUAGGAAUAUAAAAAUCUAGCCAUGCAUAAUGUUGAAAUUAAACAUGGAAGAGUUAAAAGGCAUCACCAAAAUUUUUGACAGAACGUGAUUUAUUCUUCUAUCCACAUGCCUUCCGUCCGCCGUCUAUACGUGUAUUUAUCUUCAACUCUUCACUGCCUCUUUUCUUUGAAUCUUCCGUGUUUUUGCAGUCUAUAUAAUAAAGCAUACAGCACCUUUUUAUUUCCAGCAGCCCCAAAUCUCUAAAUGCGUGAAUGUACUUUGUCUCCCCACCGAAUUCCCUUUUUUCUUCUCUCCAGCCGCCGUUCUUGUGAUUAUAUUUUCUCCAGCCGACUCCUCCAAUGUGUGUAAAAAAAAUAAUAUUGCUGCCCACUUUUCUCUCUUUUUCCACCCACCAAUUCAGCCCAACAAACUCUCCCCAAAGCUGCUUCAAUUUAUGUUAUUA
RNAcentral lists this long non-coding RNA (510 nucleotides) under Olea europaea subsp. europaea. The record is from RNAcentral. Lineage: Eukaryota; Viridiplantae; Streptophyta; Magnoliopsida; Lamiales; Oleaceae.